Molecule: ribosomal RNA, 268 nt
Filed under: uncultured prokaryote
Description: partial 16S ribosomal RNA
Rfam family: Bacterial small subunit ribosomal RNA
Source: RNAcentral
CAGCAGCCGCGGUAAUACAGAGGGGGCAAGCGUUGUCCGGACUUACUGGGCGUACAGCGCGCGCAGGCGGACCGCGACGUGCCGUGUGACAGCCCACCGCUUACCGGUGGAAGGCCACGGUACACGAGCGGUCUGGAGGCAGGGAGAGGGAUGUGGAAUGCCCGGUGGAGCGGUGAAAUGCGUAGAGAUCGGGCGGAACACCAGCGGCGAAGGCGGCAUCCUGGUCCUGUUCUGACGCUGAGGCGCGAGAGCGUGGGGAGCGAACUGG